CUGGACACUGAACAUGGAGCCUUGAUGUGUAGGAUAGGUGGGAGGCUUUGAAGCGUGGACGCCAGUCUGCGUGGAGCCGACCUUGAAAUACCACCCUUUAAUGUUUGAUGUUCUAACGUUGGCCCCUUACCGGGGUUGCGGACAGUGUCUGGUGGGUAGUUUGACUGGGGCGGUCUCCUCCCAAAGCGUAACGGAGGAGCACGAAG
Molecule: ribosomal RNA, 206 nt
Filed under: Klebsiella pneumoniae
Lineage: Bacteria; Pseudomonadati; Pseudomonadota; Gammaproteobacteria; Enterobacterales; Enterobacteriaceae
Description: partial 23S ribosomal RNA
Rfam family: Bacterial large subunit ribosomal RNA
Source: RNAcentral